Long non-coding RNA from Cyprinus carpio (common carp), 290 nucleotides. RefSeq lists it as uncharacterized. The record is from RefSeq and is a predicted model, not a curated record. Lineage: Eukaryota; Metazoa; Chordata; Actinopteri; Cypriniformes; Cyprinidae.
CAGGUGUGUGGACAGGCUGGAGAUAAAUUCUGCAGGAUGCUGGUCCUCCAGGACACCACUGUUUUUGUGUCAGAUGCAGAUAAAGAGUCACCAGGAACAGGUCACUGCUUCUUUUGUCAUGUAGAUGCUGGAACAAAAAGCAGCCAGGCCACAGCAUCUAAAAUGGAGACUUCUAUUAAAGUGGCUCUGUAACGUAAGAGACUUGGGACAGUGGAAGGAGCAGAAGAACCAAAAGAUCAGAAAUCAGGCAGAGCUCUACUGGUGCCCCUUAGGGGACUGAUUUAUCUAUA